Molecule: ribosomal RNA, 481 nt
Filed under: uncultured bacterium
Lineage: Bacteria
Description: partial 16S ribosomal RNA
Rfam family: Bacterial small subunit ribosomal RNA
Source: RNAcentral
UGGGGAAUAUUGCACAAUGGGCGAAAGCCUGAUGCAGCAACGCCGCGUGAGUGAUGAAGGCCUUCGGGUUGUAAAGCUCUGUCUUUUGGGACGAUAAUGACGGUACCAAAGGAGGAAGCCACGGCUAACUACGUGCCAGCAGCCGCGGUAAUACGUAGGUGGCAAGCGUUGUCCGGAUUUACUGGGCGUAAAGGAUGCGUAGGCGGAUUUUUAAGUGAGAUGUGAAAACCCUAAGCUUAACUUGGGGACUGCAUUCAUACUGGAAAUCUAGAGUGCGGGAGAGGAGAAUGGAAUUCCUAGUGUAGCGGUGAAAUGCGUAGAGAUUAGGAAGAACGCCAGUGGCGAAGGCGAUUCUCUGGACCGUAACUGACGCUGAGGCAUGAAAGCGUGGGUAGCAAACAGGAUUAGAUACCCUGGUAGUCCACGCCGUAAACGAUGAGUACUAGGUGUAGGAGGUAUCGACCCCUUCUGUGCCGCAGUU